Molecule: ribosomal RNA, 433 nt
Filed under: uncultured bacterium
Lineage: Bacteria
Description: partial 16S ribosomal RNA
Rfam family: Bacterial small subunit ribosomal RNA
Source: RNAcentral
AGCGAACGCUGGCGGCAGGCCUAACACAUGCAAGUCGAACGAACUCUUCGGAGUUAGUGGCGGACGGGUGAGUAACACGUGGGAACGUGCCUUUUGGUUCGGAAUAACUCAGGGAAACUUGUGCUAAUACCGAAUGUGCCCUUCGGGGGAAAGAUUUAUCGCCAUUAGAGCGGCCCGCGUCUGAUUAGCUAGUUGGUGAGGUAACGGCUCACCAAGGCGACGAUCAGUAGCUGGUCUGAGAGGAUGACCAGCCACACUGGGACUGAGACACGGCCCAGACUCCUACGGGAGGCAGCAGUGGAGAAUCUUGCGCAAUGGGCGAAAGCCUGACGCAGCCAUGCCGCGUGAAUGAUGAAGGUCUUAGGAUUGUAAAAUUCUUUCACCGGGGACGAUAAUGACGGUACCCGGAGAAGAAGCCCCGGCUAACUUCGUG